Molecule: long non-coding RNA, 1323 nt
Organism: Aedes aegypti (yellow fever mosquito)
Lineage: Eukaryota; Metazoa; Arthropoda; Insecta; Diptera; Culicidae
Exons: 3
Source: RefSeq, a predicted model, not a curated record
CCAUGAAACCACCUUCUGCAUAGCAUCGAGAACGUGCACCAGGAAAUAACAACCACAUAAGACUGCCACUACCACAACGUCAAGCUAGAGCAGAGAGACCGCUCUCUGCGCUCUUUUACGCACACAGUCGUCACACACGCCACGACGGGGGAGACGAUUGAGAAUUAUUCGCAGCCAGCUCACUCAGUUAGUGUCAGCCCGCCGAAACGACAGUGCACGCAAAUCGAAACAGUCCGGUCUUCGUUGAAACGAAAAACUUAGCCGUCCAUCUUGUGAAGUUUGGUAGGAUAACCGCGUGUGGUUCCUCGAGUGAAGUUAGUGCCAGGCAGGAGGCCCACCAUUUGAUUCCAGCCAAGGGUAAGACAACCCUAAUUCCAUUUGGCUCAAAACGCUGAUUUCUGGAUUCAUUCGAACAGGAAAUAGAGCGCACAGAGGGACACACGGACCACCAUUUUGCAUUUCGGUUUGCAGAAACCACGUUGCCCAGGGUAAAAAAGCAAAAAACCCAUACGAUCAGCCCUUGAAGUCGAGAAACAGCGCGACGGUCGGAACCGGUGCGUGGGAACCCAACCAGUUGGUGCAUCGUUUCCACCACGCCGGACUACUGUAACCCUGAUUGCACCAUUCCCGAAGGUCAACAGAUAGUUAUACAUCCCCGGGACAAAGAAAGCCUUCCAUUGGAAGGCUUUCUUUUUUCGUUUAUUGCAGUCAGUUCGAGGGGUCAUUGGGAGCAGCCAGACGAGCCAGGCGGUGGCAGCGAGUCAGUGUGGUCUUCAACCCCCCUCAAUCCGGUUCAAGUCAACCGCGGAUCUAAUCUCGCCAACAUUGGGGAAGGCACCCGGCGGCGUGCGUCAUAUGAUCACCGAAUAGACGGAUUCGGAGCGAUUGGCGGUUCUCAACUGGUGCAGGAAAGAAGCGAUUAUCCGGAGGGACGAAACUAUCCGCUAGGCAGAGCAGCGUCAGAGAACUGCACGCGGUCUCGUGGGUGUCGUCAGUUCAGCAGCAAGAUCAAGUCGGUGUGAGCAUCGGCCAGAAAGGCGGAAUGAUGGGGCUGCAGAGCGUCAACGGGGUAGCGGCGGUAAGCAGGGCGCGCCCGAAAGUGCAGUGAGUAGAGCAAAUCUAGUUUUUAAGCAAAGUAAAGGUUAAAGGAGAGGCUAGGAGUCAGAAGAUAGGAGGAAAGGAUCAGGAAAAGGAAAAUGAUGGUCUGUAAAUAAAAAAACUUGUAACCAUGAUCAGUUUUGUGUUGGAAUUCAGUUAUUUGUGCGCAUUCCCUUAAGAGCUUUCCGGGGCUGAUCGAGGUUUCCAUUCCCCCCUCGACAGACA